CCUGUACCUGCUCGGAACGAAGAGGACACAAGUUGCAGUGUAGGCCGCGACUUUUCGUUGGUGUGUGCGAGUGUGUGUCUAUGUUGACAUCAACGAAGGAACCUCUCUGACACUAUUCGCACACUAAGGCGCACAGCAGCUAGCCAGAUCUGUUGUUUUCUUGCCUGGACGUGCGGCGUGUGUGCAGAAAAAGGAAAACCAGGAGUUGAAGUGCCAGCUGGACACCUCGCAGAACACAAUCGGUGGAGCCGGGAUUGUGAACACAUUGCGGAGCUCUCCAGCCUAAAGUCCAGGACCAAGAAUUUUCAUUUUGUGUGACAAAGGUACAUUACACCCAUUAACAU
Molecule: long non-coding RNA, 344 nt
Organism: Ornithodoros turicata
Lineage: Eukaryota; Metazoa; Arthropoda; Arachnida; Ixodida; Argasidae
Exons: 3
Source: RefSeq, a predicted model, not a curated record